Salvia splendens (bonfire salvia) is the source of this 4645-nucleotide long non-coding RNA. RefSeq lists it as uncharacterized. NCBI's taxonomy places the organism in Eukaryota, Viridiplantae, Streptophyta, Magnoliopsida, Lamiales, Lamiaceae. The transcript is spliced from 2 exons. The record is from RefSeq and is a predicted model, not a curated record.
AUUAAGCUGAUUUAGAAAGUCAAGGCAAUUUGCCAUAAUUUAAUUAGUAAUCUUGGAUCAAAUUGCGUCAUUUUUAUGUACAAAACAAAAAAUAAUCGACAGCAUCCGAUCACAAUUUGGAUCGAUUGCUUCAAUAUCGCAAGCGUUUAUCAGGUUUUGUUUCCCAAUUUAUGCAUACUUAAUGAGUAAAGGGAGGAUGGAUUUUUCUGUAUUGCCUUUAUAUUGAUAAGAGAUCGCAACGGAUUAUAUUUGAGCUGCAGAAAUAGGUUUCAGGCGUUCUGUGUUGUUAUGAAUUUAGGCUCUUUUUCUUUCGAAUACGCAGAGAGUUGCCGAUUGUUGUGUAAAAAUAGGGGUUUUCUGGAUGCUUGAAUUUGUUCAUGCAAAUGGCUUCCGCUUUGCAGCAGAUUAAGAACCCAAGUUUCAUGCUUUCCCACGAUAAUUUUAGAAAUGCCGUGUGGAUUAGCUUCCUGUCGAAAAGAUGGAAGUAUGUUUGGACUUCGAUGCUUUACUUAAUUUUCCACAUAUAUUGGUUUGCGAAGCAUGAUAGUGAGAAUGAACUUCGAUGUUUUGGGAUUUUAUGGCUUUACUUAUAAGAGAUGGCCCUCUCAACUUAUAAGGAUCAAAUGUGUACUGAUAACACAUAAUGAAGCAGCUGAAUGAGCUCUUUCAUGUUGUAUCUGGGAAGAAGGCUUGAGAACUUUGCUUUUUUGAUGGUGAUUCCACUGCUCAUGAGCUAAUCCCUCGCGUCCUUUGUGAAACAUUGUAGUAACGAAACAUCUCAUUGCAAGUAAUAUCAGUUUUAAGUAACCAAAGAAGUCUUGUUGAGAGUUCUCAUAUGAGGCGAGGUAGCUGAGAAUUUUCUUUCACGCGAUUGUAUUAAGUGCAAGAACGUUACUUAUAAGAUUGCCAAGUCAUUGAUCUUGAGUAGAUUGAUGGCUCAAGUAGUACUCAGGUAAUCACGGAUCUGUAUGCUCGUGAGAAAAUUUGGGUUGUAGACUAUAUUUCAACUCUAAGCUCAUGAUUUCUCCUCCAAACUUGCUCCUUUUCUGCUACAUUGGAGGAAUGCUGCGUGUCUUCAUUGUGGUGAAUACAUACUCUUUGGAUAAUGUCUCAGUCUGCCUUCUAUGUUUACCUCGUGGGUGGAUACAAAAAAUGCUUACUCUGUUCUGCAAGGUUGAUUGGGCUUAAUGAUGUGAAGGCUUUGACUCUGUGCACUCUUGUUGCUAAGUACACACACAAUGUUGUCAAAUGUCGGAUAUGGCGGUGCUAUGGCAGCGACAUGGUGCUAUGGCGUUUCCGCUAUUUGAUAACAUUGAUAAUUUUCCAGGUGCUUUAUAUAGGGCACAACAAAUAAGUUGCCAAUUUUGUUUCCUGUUUUUCAAUAGAUGUAUUAUCAUAUUUGUAAAGAAUUUAACUUUGAUUAACAAUCAUGUUUAGUUUUUUACUCGUAUAUUCAAUGAUUGUGAUAUUACUUGUCUGAUGAGUUCUUCACUUAUUUAUGGAUGAAGAAUUGUAAAGAAAAUCUGCAGGUAUUAAAAAAAAUGAAAAACGAAAAGAAAAAGGGAAGUUUUCAAAUCUAUGGAUGAUUGCAGACAGCCUAAAACAAUAGUAAUGUUGAAAUGUGUAAGAAUGUAAAGUUGAAAUGUCAAUAGAAAAGAUGCAUUGAAAUGAGGUUCAAAGAACACUCUAAUUGGGUGUUUAUUCUUCUACUGAUCUUGAUUUAGAAGUACUAUAACUUGCUUAGUAUGCUUAGAAUGUUGCACGUGCAGGAUAGUUUAAAACAUUUACCUAGGUAUAUGAAUCUGUAUCUUUAGCCUGUUCAUGAUGGAAGAGGAUAAAAGGAUUUGCUCAACAUAUCUCUGUGAAUCAUUGCCAACUUACACUUAGUCAUUUUGGUCCUCCGGAUAUAUGAAUGUAAUAGUCUUUGGCUCUAAAGAAAAUGGUGAAUUACAUGUAGGGGACUCUUGUUAAUUUGGUGUUAGCGGCUAGGUGGUAUUAAAUGUUAUUUACUUCAUAUAUGAUGGAGUUAAAGAGCCAUAAAAGUGUAGAAAAAUGAUUAUUUUUCUUUUCAAAUGUAGAGAAUUGAAUAAAAACAAGUAAAUAAUAAUCCGAGAUGAGAUAGAGUACCUUGCCCUUAUCCCUAUCAAGUCUCAUGAUCUUUUUCCUUUACUCUAACUUGGUUCCUACUUUUUUUUAUAGACAACCUUUCUGUAACAAUGCAUUAAUAUUCCUUGAUUAUCCUCUCUUUAUCAGAAUUUACGUUACUUGGCAGAAUACAACACAAAUAGCUCUUAGUUAUGACAUCAACUUCAUACAUGUGAGUUUUUACAUAUUUUAAUCAUAUCUAUAUUUGUAUUAUAGGCAUUGCUAUCUUUGUUUUGCAUAUGUGUGCUAGUGCAAGUGCUAAAAUUGAAAUGAGACUGUAUCUUUCAUGUUUUGGUAACAUUGUGCUUAAUAUAUUUGAAAUACUCUGGAGAAGUAUUUUGUUUUGAGUGGCAUUUGAUAAUCUAUUUCUAUAUUAUUUUGGAUUUAUAAAUUCCGAGGAUAAACGCCUGAGAUAUUCAAUUUAACCAUUGAGAUUCUAUGGAAACAUUAAACAUCUCUAGGUUGUUAAUAAUUUUGCAGAUAAUAAUUUAGUAACGCACAUUAUUUAGCAACAUUGAAAAUCAUUAUCAUAAUGAUUUAUGGUCUCAUACUGAUUGGUUGUUAAUGGCCUAUUUGCUAUUUCAGGAAGUUAUUGACUCAAUCAUAUUCAUUUCGUUUUGUUUAGAUACAUGAUUAGUAUUUGCCGAUAAAAUAAAAUGGGUAGUGCUUUUACUAAUGGAAUAACAAAUACAGUGUAUCGGUUGGCAGCUUGGCUAAAAUGAAAUCACAAUGUGAUACCUCUCAGUGGAAAAUACCAUGAUCCUUGUCAGAUUUUUCUUCCUGUUUAUGUUCUCUCGCUUUUAAAUUUAUUUAGUUGGCGUAACCAACUUUUUCUUUAGUAACUUUUUCGGAGGAGGGGCUGUAUCUGCGUUGUCAAAAUAUUCUUUCUUUAGGUCUAACUAAUGAAUGGCAAAACCUUGUUUCCUCCGCUACUCAAUUGGCUGAAAUUUCUGCCCCGCCCCCUCUCUUCCCCGCUAUAGGUUUUCUCGAGAAGUCAAAACAGUCUUUCCAUUUGCAGUGAGCUUCUUGUUGUUAAGAUAAUUAUCUUAUUGAAGUAUUUAAUUGUACGGAUUUUAAUACAUUUUCCUCCAAUUUAAGAUAAUUUUGAUUUUAAUUUAAUUUCUAUAAAAUGUAGAUCAUUUGAUUGUUUAGAUAUUCAUCACGGCAUUAGCCUUUAUAAUUCAUUGAUUAUUUGUUUUAUCAAUAUGCCUCUGUAAUUGCUGCUCAUAUCAGGCUUGGAUCUGUAUCUGUUGAACAUUUCUUAUAUGCAUUUGGCAAUUUUUGGUCGUUUAUGUUGAGUAGCGACAUGAUUAUGUUAUCUAGUUAUAGAAAUGUGAACACCAAACAAUUCUCAAAAAAAUUCUUGGUUUAGAUGUAUGAGAAAGUAAAGCAUGUAUUUAAUCUGGAUAUUAUCUCUGGAUGAUAAAUAUUUUCAGUGACUUUUUCUGCCCCGCCCCCUCUCUUCCCAGCUAUAGAUUUUCUUGAGAAUUAAAAAAUAGUCUUUCUAUUUGCAGUGAGCUUCUUGCUGUUAAGAUAAUUAUCUUAUUGAAUUAUUUAAUUGUACAGAUUUUAAUACAUUUGCCUCCAAUUUAAGAUCAUUUUAAUUUUGAUUGAAUUUCUAUAAACUGUAGAUCAUUUGAUUGUUUUGAUAUUCAUCACUGCAUGAGCCUUUAUAAUUCAUUAAUUGUUUGUUUUAUCAAUCUGCAUCUGUUAUUACUGCUCAUAUCAGUUUAGGCUGUAUCUGUAUCUGUAUCUGUUGAACAUUUCUUUUAUGCAUUUGGCAAUUUAGUCAUUUAUGUUGAGUUUUUUUUGGGGCAUGGUAUUAAUGUAUAGCGACAGGGUUAUGUGAUCCAGUUAUAGAAAUGUGAGCAUUAUACACUUCUCCGAAAAAAAUUUGGUUGAGAUGUAUGAGAAAGUAAAGCACGCAUUUAAUCCAGAUAUUAUAUCUGGAUGAUUAAUAUUCUCAGUGAAUUUUUCUGCCCCCCCCCCCCCUCUUCCCCGCUAAGGUUUUCUCGUUUAGUCAAAAAAAGUCUUUCCAUACGUAGUGAGCUUCUUGUUUUUAAGAUAAUUAUCUUAUUGAAUUAUUUAAUUGUACGGUUUUUAAUACAUUUACCUCUAAUUUAAGAUCAUUUUGAUCUUGAAUUUAUUAAAAUGUUGAUCAUUUGAUUUUUUAAAUAUUCAUCACUGCAUGAGCCUUUGUAAUUCAUCGUCUAUUUGUUUUGUCAAUCUGCAUCUGUAAUUUCUGCUCAUAUCAGGCCUUGAUUAGUAUCUGUUGAACAUUUCUUAUAUGCAUUUGGCAGAGUUUGGUCUCUAUGUGGAGUUUGUUUUGGGGCAUGGUAUUGAUGUAUAGUUACAGUAUUAUGAGAUCCAGUUAUAGAAAAUGUGAACACCAUGCACUUCCCCGAAAAAAUCUUGGUUGAGAUGUAUGAGAAAGUAAAGCAUGUAUUCAAUCUGGAUAUUAUCUCUGGAUGAUAAGUUUUCACAGUGACUUGUUUUUGGA